This 66-nucleotide transfer RNA is filed under the name Diadegma fenestrale. RNAcentral's name for it is "tRNA-Arg". Lineage: Eukaryota; Metazoa; Arthropoda; Insecta; Hymenoptera; Ichneumonidae. The record is from RNAcentral.
UUUUAAGUAACAUAAAAAAUGUUUUCAAUUUCGACUUGAAUUAUAGAUUUUAAAAUCUCUAAUUAA